CUGCCCCGACGACCAGUGGCCAAGCAAAUUAGCCGAUUAUAUUCGUUUCAACGACGAAGCACUUUUAAAAGAUUCCGAACGCUUACUUAGCACAUACACUGAUGAAUUGUUGCCUUGCACUUCUUUUCCAGAGUUCUGUGAUGUUGCAGGUUUACUUGGUGAUAUUCCCGACCCAGAUUCAUACUUAGAAAAUCUCUUUAAGGACUUUUAAUUUUCCACUACCACAAAGCUUUAGAAUUUAGCAUAUGGAUCGGAAAGAUAUAAUAUUUGGAAUAUAUUAUUACGUUGCUGUUCCUUUGGAAUGUUAGUCACAUAUAAAUUAUUGUACUUUAAAAUGUAAUAAAGUUGUUUAAACCAUUAA
Molecule: long non-coding RNA, 361 nt
Organism: Agrilus planipennis (emerald ash borer)
Lineage: Eukaryota; Metazoa; Arthropoda; Insecta; Coleoptera; Buprestidae
Exons: 2
Source: RefSeq, a predicted model, not a curated record